This 254-nucleotide ribosomal RNA is filed under the name uncultured bacterium. RNAcentral's name for it is "partial 16S ribosomal RNA". It matches the Rfam family "Bacterial small subunit ribosomal RNA", at positions 524 to 776 of the family's 1533-position model. The record is from RNAcentral.
UACGUAGGGUGCGAGCGUUGUCCGGAAUUAUUGGGCGUAAAGAGCUCGUAGGCGGUCUGUCGCGUCGAUCGUGAAAACUUGGGGCUUAACCCUGAGCUUGCGGUCGAUACGGGCAUGACUGGAGUUCGGCAGGGGAGACUGGAAUUCCUGGUGUAGCGGUGAAAUGCACAGAUAUCAGGAGGAACACCGGUGGCGAAGGCGGGUCUCUGGGCCGAUACUGACGCUGAGGAGCGAAAGCGUGGGGAGCGAACAGG